UAGCAUAACUACUAGCUCAGGGAAAGAGCGC
This 31-nucleotide non-coding RNA is filed under the name Mus musculus (house mouse). Lineage: Eukaryota; Metazoa; Chordata; Mammalia; Rodentia; Muridae. The record is from RNAcentral.